This is a small nuclear RNA of Onychomys torridus (southern grasshopper mouse), 107 nucleotides long. Lineage: Eukaryota; Metazoa; Chordata; Mammalia; Rodentia; Cricetidae. The record is from RefSeq and is a predicted model, not a curated record.
GUGCUCGCUUCGGAAGCACAUAUACAAAAAUUUGAAUGAUACAGAGAAGAUUAGCAUGGCCCAUGUGUAAGGAUGACAUGCAAAUUUGUGAAGUGUUCCAUAUUAAA